Molecule: ribosomal RNA, 900 nt
Filed under: Didymellaceae sp. nwa_besc_4b
Lineage: Eukaryota; Fungi; Ascomycota; Dothideomycetes; Pleosporales; Didymellaceae
Description: eukaryotic LSU rRNA
Rfam family: Eukaryotic large subunit ribosomal RNA (bases 466-900)
Source: RNAcentral
GGAGGAUCAUUACCUAGAGUUGUAGGCUUUGCCUGCUAUCUCUUACCCAUGUCUUUUGAGUACCUUCGUUUCCUCGGCGGGUCCGCCCGCCGAUUGGACAAUUUAAACCAUUUGCAGUUGCAAUCAGCGUCUGAAAAAACUUAAUAGUUACAACUUUCAACAACGGAUCUCUUGGUUCUGGCAUCGAUGAAGAACGCAGCGAAAUGCGAUAAGUAGUGUGAAUUGCAGAAUUCAGUGAAUCAUCGAAUCUUUGAACGCACAUUGCGCCCCUUGGUAUUCCAUGGGGCAUGCCUGUUCGAGCGUCAUUUGUACCUUCAAGCUCUGCUUGGUGUUGGGUGUUUGUCUCGCCUCUGCGCGUAGACUCGCCUCAAAACAAUUGGCAGCCGGCGUAUUGAUUUCGGAGCGCAGUACAUCUCGCGCUUUGCACUCAUAACGACGACGUCCAAAAGUACAUUUUUACACUCUUGACCUCGGAUCAGGUAGGGAUACCCGCUGAACUUAAGCAUAUCAAUAAGCGGAGGAAAAGAAACCAACAGGGAUUGCCCUAGUAACGGCGAGUGAAGCGGCAACAGCUCAAAUUUGAAAUCUGGCGUCUUCGGCGUCCGAGUUGUAAUUUGCAGAGGGCGCUUUGGCAUUGGCAGCGGUCCAAGUUCCUUGGAACAGGACGUCACAGAGGGUGAGAAUCCCGUACGUGGUCGCUAGCCUUUACCGUGUAAAGCCCCUUCGACGAGUCGAGUUGUUUGGGAAUGCAGCUCUAAAUGGGAGGUAAAUUUCUUCUAAAGCUAAAUACUGGCCAGAGACCGAUAGCGCACAAGUAGAGUGAUCGAAAGAUGAAAAGCACUUUGGAAAGAGAGUUAAAAAGCACGUGAAAUUGUUGAAAGGGAAGCGCUUGCAGCCAGA